This 200-nucleotide ribosomal RNA is filed under the name uncultured bacterium. Its description in RNAcentral is "partial 16S ribosomal RNA". It matches the Rfam family "Bacterial small subunit ribosomal RNA", at positions 28 to 224 of the family's 1533-position model. The record is from RNAcentral.
GACGAACGCUGGCGGCGUGCUUAACACAUGCAAGUCGAACGGUGACCUCGAGAGCUUGCUCUUGGGUGAGCAGUGGCGAACGGGUGAGUAACACGUGAGUAACCUGCCCCUGACUCUGGAAUAAGCGCUGGAAACGGCGUCUAAUACCGGAUACGAGACGCCGCCGCAUGGUGAGUGUCUGGAAAGUUUUUCGGUCUGGG